CGGACUGGUGAGUAACGCGUGAGGAACCUGCCUUUCGGAGGGGGACAACAGUUGGAAACGACUGCUAAUACCGCAUGAUACAUUUGGGCCGCAUGGUCUGAAUGCCAAAGAUUUAUCGCCGAAAGAUGGCCUCGCGUCUGAUUAGCUAGUUGGUGGGGUAACGGCCCACCAAGGCGACGAUCAGUAGCCGGACUGAGAGGUUGGCCGGCCACAUUGGGACUGAGAUACGGCCCAGACUCCUACGGAAGGCAGCAG
This 255-nucleotide ribosomal RNA is filed under the name uncultured bacterium. RNAcentral's name for it is "partial 16S ribosomal RNA". It matches the Rfam family "Bacterial small subunit ribosomal RNA", at positions 99 to 354 of the family's 1533-position model. The record is from RNAcentral.